This 1357-nucleotide long non-coding RNA is filed under the name Oryzias sinensis (Chinese medaka). RNAcentral's name for it is "lncRNA (ENSOSIG00000005412.1)". The record is from RNAcentral. Lineage: Eukaryota; Metazoa; Chordata; Actinopteri; Beloniformes; Adrianichthyidae.
UUUUUUAAGUUAUUCAAGUUAUAAACUAGCCAAUUAGAUGCCCUAAUGAAAGCACUCCGUCCUGACAAUUUCUGGUCCCAACAUGGUGAUAUCCAUACUGCGUUAAAUUGGCGUCUGAAUUUACUUAGUUUGGAGCUGGAAGUAAACUACUUUUUAUGGGUGACGUGACACUCACUUGGUCCAGUUCUCAUUAUCAGUCAGUGAACCCUACCAGCUGCACCCAACCUGAGUGUCGGUCCUCCAAUAGUCAUUUUUGAAUUUUUACAAUGUAUAAAUUACUCCAUAUUUGCCUUCAUCUUAAAGUGGAAUACUUUGUAUCUUUGUUUAUUUAUUGAUUAAACUUCAGCAGGUGUAACAAAGAAACUUCUGCAGGAAUUCAAAGGUCAUUGAGAAAGUAACAUUGUAAGGGAUUGCUUUUGAAUACCAUUAGAAGUAAUCUGUAAAUACAGUGGGGAAGUAACUUGGAAAACACUGGUAUUUGAAUGCUGAAGUGGAGAGAAAGGAUUUAGAAGUACAGGUUAAUAUUUUUUAAUUUGUUAAAUUAAUUUUUAGGAUCUAUUCUGUAUUUAUAUACUGUAUUUGUUUAAGUGUGUGUGGUUCUUUUUAAGCGGAAUAAACUUUAAAACCAUCUCAGUUAGGUUAGUAUUUGUUUAGUUCACAUGUGGUUUAGGGGAAGGACAAAGACACGAAAGAUGUCUGUGAGGAAGUUUUUUUUUUUUUUUGUAAAUUCUGUCCAUCAGUCACUUUUGAUUGGACACUUAAAUAAGGGGACCUUUUUUUCCACUUUUAUUUCUCUUUUUAACAAAAAGUUCCACUUGACCACACUGGGUGUCAUCUGAAAUCCUGCCUGCAGACCGAAAGGGUUUUGUAACUCGUUGUCAGUUGACCAGAGACUUGUCGGGUAAAUCGAAAGUUAACAAAAAAGUGCAAAGCAAUGGAGAUGCAAGAGGCCCCUGCAAAGGCUGAGACAGAGGACAAAGAAAAAAGAGCAGAGAAACCGAAGCAGGAGGCCAAAACUGAAGAUGAAGCAAAUCAAGAACAAUACUCUACUCUGCUGAGUCCAAGUGAAGAGAUCUACUCUGAAGCUUUUCAUGCGACAAAGCCUCCUCAAGGUACACUUUUAUAUAAAGUGCAUCAUGUCCUGAGUUUUAAAUGUUUGUCUGAUAAUAACAGGUUUCAUUAGGAGUCUUAUUACAAAUGCAUCCUCUGCUCAAUGUGCAAUUGAAACACCCUGACAGCUUGUACCAACACGUCAUCCAGUCUGAGUGUCUGACAGCUUCUGUGAAGAACCUGCAGGUUCUUUCACCCUUUUGUGAAUUUUGAAACAGAAAUUAAAAUGAAAGUCUGAGUUGUCAUG